GCUUGCUUCUCCGGAUGAGUUGCGAACGGGUGAGUAACGCGUAGGUAACCUGCCUGGUAGCGGGGGAUAACUAUUGGAAACGAUAGCUAAUACCGCAUAACAGUAGAUAUUGCGUGAUAUCUGCUUGAAAGGUGCAAUUGCAUCACUACCAGAUGGACCUGCGUUGUAUUAGCUAGUUGGUGGGGUAACGGCUCACCAAGGCAACGAUACAUAGCCGACCUGAGAGGGUGAUCGGCCACACUGGGACUGAGACACGGCCCAGACUCCUACGGGAGGCAGCAGUAGGGAAUCUUCGGCAAUGGACGGAAGUCUGACCGAGCAACGCCGCGUGAGUGAAGAAGGUUUUCGGAUCGUAAAGCUCUGUUGUAAGAGAAGAACGAGUGUGAGAGUGGAAAGUUCACACUGUGACGGUAUCUUACCAGAAAGGGACGGCUAACUACGUGCCAGCAGCCGCGGUAAUACGUAGGUCCCGAGCGUUGUCCGGAUUUAUUGGGCGUAAAGCGAGCGCAGGCGGUUAGAUAAGUCUGAAGUUAAAGGCUGUGGCUUAACCAUAGUACGCUUUGGAAACUGUUUAACUUGAGUGCA
Molecule: ribosomal RNA, 585 nt
Filed under: uncultured Bacilli bacterium
Lineage: Bacteria; Bacillati; Bacillota; Bacilli
Description: bacterial SSU rRNA
Rfam family: Bacterial small subunit ribosomal RNA
Source: RNAcentral